Molecule: long non-coding RNA, 947 nt
Filed under: Equus caballus (horse)
Lineage: Eukaryota; Metazoa; Chordata; Mammalia; Perissodactyla; Equidae
Description: lncRNA (ENSECAG00000054800.1)
Source: RNAcentral
CUUUACCCCCUGUUUUGGUCUAUAACUGAAAGAAGCCUGUUUCUACCAAGAAUGGCAUGACGACAACCGUUCCUUGGGGAUCCAAGCAAUGUGUCGGGGGAGUGUGCAGAGGGCACAUGCCUGGGCGCCUCGGACGCUUGGUCCAGGUGUGGGCUGUGGCUGGGCCUUCGAGUGCAGGCGGUUCUUCUGUAUUAGGGAGACUCGUUCAGAAACUCAUUGGCAGCUGCUGAAAAAACUUACUUCAGACCCUUGCCAGUUUGAAAUUCGUGACCGGGUGCCAGAGAAGAUGGCAGUGUUCAUGGGAACUAUUUCAACCAACUGUAUGCUGGUUCUGAGAAUACAAAGAGGUGUAAGAUCUGGGUCUUGCCGUCAAGGGAUCCUACGGUCUAUGCAAGUUCAAAAAAAGGAGAUGACAGAAGGACUAUAUAAACUGCUUCUGAGAACAAGAUAGGAUUUUUAACACCACCACGACCACCAAUUUUUAAUUGAUUUUUUUUGUCAAAAAUGAACCACACGCUCACAUACACACGGAGUUUUGAGUUUUAACCUAUUUUGAAAUUCAAACAUAUUGUAACAAAAUGCGGAUUGUAUUAUUUGAGAAAAUACAUUUGUGAGCUCACUUUAGGAUAAGUGCAGCAGAAGGAGAACAGAAAAGACUGCAGCUGGAAUGAUCUGGAUUACGCUGCGGCCCCGUGUUUCGUUGGUUCGAAUCCUGGGCGCGGACAUGGCCCUGCUCAUCAGACCACGCUGAGGCGGCGUCCCACAUGCCACAACUAGAAGGACCCACAACUAAGAAUAUACAACUAUGUACUGGGGGGCUUUGGGGAGAAAAAGGAAAAAAAAUAAAAUCUUAAAAAAAAAAUUUGAUUGUUUAUUUGUAGUAUUAAUUUCAAAAGCUUGACAUGGUGGGAAAGUAAGAAAUUGCUCAGGAUGAAGGAGCUGGAAGG